UGCGUAGGCGGGCUAAUAAGUCAGUGGUGAAAUAUUCCGGCUCAACCGGGAGACUGCCAUUGAUACUGUUAGUCUUGAGUUCGGCUGAGGUAGGCGGAAUGUGUAAUGUAGCGGUGAAAUGCUUAGAUAUUACACAGAACACCAAUUGCGUAGGCAGCUUACUAGACCGACACUGACGCUGAGGCACGAAAGCGUGGGGAGCGAACAGGAUUAGAUACCUGGUAGUCC
Molecule: ribosomal RNA, 228 nt
Filed under: uncultured bacterium
Lineage: Bacteria
Description: partial 16S ribosomal RNA
Rfam family: Bacterial small subunit ribosomal RNA
Source: RNAcentral